This is a long non-coding RNA of Ipomoea triloba (trilobed morning glory), 417 nucleotides long. RefSeq lists it as uncharacterized. Lineage: Eukaryota; Viridiplantae; Streptophyta; Magnoliopsida; Solanales; Convolvulaceae. The transcript is spliced from 3 exons. The record is from RefSeq and is a predicted model, not a curated record.
UAAAAAACAAGUUCUCCAUAGGAAUGAGAUUUAAAAUGAGGUUUGAAGGGGAAGAAGCUCCUGAGCAGAGGUUUAUUGGAACUAUUGUUGGCAUUGAAGAUCAUGAUCCCCACAAGUGGCCGGAAUCAAAAUGGAGAUGUCUAAAGGUAAUACCCUUGUGUUUGAAAGGGAGGGGUUUGGUGAUACAUUUUUAUUUGUAAUGUCUAAAGUGAUAUGUAUUGAUAUCUUUAGGUGCAGUGGGAUGAAACUUCAACGAUUUCAAGGCCUGAUCGGGUUUUACAUUGGAAAAUAGAGCCAACUCUUUCUCAUUCUGCACUAAAUCAACUAAUUUGUACCAAGUUUUCUCCCCAAAAUUUAAAGACAUUUAUUAUAAAUUAUUUCUCUUAAAUAAUCAUACUUUACUAUGUGUUUAUGUUA